UCUUCUUCGGUAAAGGUUAUGGGCUCUUCAGUCUUUUGUCGCUUGGGGGAUACAGCCGGUAUGUUGGUCGUUUCUUGCUGGGAUCCUCCCGAGAUGGUAUUGGCGGAAUCCGUCGGAGGCCGAUCGUCCGGCCACUCCAUGCUGGCGACCAUAGCCGGAGAAUGCGGGGCCUGGGAAACCAAAGGCGAGACCGGGGUCCAGGAUAUGGCUGCGGAGGCCGUGGGUAGCUAUGCAGAUGCUUCGCGAGAGGGCAACAGGCGAGGAUCCCGUGGGGGAAAGAAGGAGUGGGUGCCGGAGGAGACGAUCGGAGGCGGCUCCGUUGAGCGCUCCUUUAAGAACAAGGGUACUGCGAAGACACACUCCUUCCUCUAGCGCCAAUCCUGUUGGUGCAAAAAUUCGCUUGCGCCGGAGAAGCUGG
This 418-nucleotide long non-coding RNA is filed under the name Elaeis guineensis (African oil palm). Its description in RNAcentral is "long non-coding RNA (EGUI_LNC044365)". The record is from RNAcentral. Lineage: Eukaryota; Viridiplantae; Streptophyta; Magnoliopsida; Arecales; Arecaceae.